ACGCUAAUACCGCAUACGUCCUACGGGAGAAAGCAGGGGACCUUCGGGCCUUGCGCUAUCAGAUGAGCCUAGGUCGGAUUAGCUAGUUGGUGGGGUAAUGGCUCACCAAGGCGACGAUCCGUAACUGGUCUGAGAGGAUGAUCAGUCACACUGGAACUGAGACACGGUCCAGACUCCUACGGGAGGCAGCAGUGGGGAAUAUUGGACAAUGGGCGAAAGCCUGAUCCAGCCAUGCCGCGUGUGUGAAGAAGGUCUUCGGAUUGUAAAGCACUUUAAGUUGGGAGGAAGGGCAGUAAGUUAAUACCUUGCUGUUUUGACGUUACCGACAGAAUAAGCACCGGCUAACUCUGUGCCAGCAGCCGCGGUAAUACAGAGGGUGCAAGCGUUAAUCGGAAUUACUGGGCGUAAAGCGCGCGUAGGUGGUUCGUUAAGUUGGAUGUGAAAGCCCCGGGCUCAACCUGGGAACUGCAUCCAAAACUGGCGAGCUAGAGUACGGUAGAGGGUGGUGGAAUUUCCUGUGUAGCGGUGAAAUGCGUAGAUAUAGGAAGG
RNAcentral lists this ribosomal RNA (549 nucleotides) under Pseudomonas savastanoi. Its description in RNAcentral is "bacterial SSU rRNA". It matches the Rfam family "Bacterial small subunit ribosomal RNA", at positions 160 to 704 of the family's 1533-position model. Lineage: Bacteria; Pseudomonadati; Pseudomonadota; Gammaproteobacteria; Pseudomonadales; Pseudomonadaceae. The record is from RNAcentral.